UACGUAGGGGGCAAGCGUUGUCCGGAAUCAUUGGGCGUAAAGAGCGUGUAGGCGGUCCGGUAAGUCGGCUGUGAAAGUCCAGGGCUCAACCCUGGGAUGCCGGUCGAUACUGCCGGACUAGAGUUCGGAAGAGGCGAGUGGAAUUCCCGGUGUAGCGGUGAAAUGCGCAGAUAUCGGGAGGAACACUUAUGGCGAAGGCAGCUCGCUGGGACGUUACUGACGCUGAGACGCGAAAGCGUGGGGAGCAAACAGG
RNAcentral lists this ribosomal RNA (253 nucleotides) under uncultured bacterium. RNAcentral's name for it is "partial 16S ribosomal RNA". It matches the Rfam family "Bacterial small subunit ribosomal RNA", at positions 524 to 776 of the family's 1533-position model. The record is from RNAcentral.